UUUGCCAAAUGCAAGCAGUAAUGACUGGUAUAAAAAUUUUGGCUGCUGUGUUAGAUGAGCUGGGCACGCUGCAAAGCUGUGGCUUGCCGAUCUCCUGCCCCUAGUUCUGCAGCAGUUCCACCAGAGGUCUGCCAUCAGGAGAAGAGCCUUGUUGCCAUAGUUGUAUCACAGGCUGUGGCACAAUGUGAGUCUGCGUCACAGCCUAAGGAUGUAACAGGGGAAAGUAAGGAAAACCUGUACCAUCAGCUCAUACCCAUUAAUAACUCUGGGUUUUUUUCACUUUGAUUUUUUCCUUUUAUUUUUUCAUGCUGUCACCAUUUUUCACUGCUGUGUGAGCCAACAGUACCAGCCAAAGAGUCCCUCAGAGCCAUCCCUACCCCAAAGUGACUAACCCUACCUGGGGCUGCAGAGGGAUGGAUGUGCUGUAUGCAGUUUGGCUCCACACAUAUUUCUUGCAUGAGAAGGAUGGCAUUGAAUCACAUCCCAGAAUUUGCUGGGUGCUGCCAGAUGUGCUAUGGCAUUUCCUCAGAUUGAAUCCAGAGUUUGCUGCCUACUUGCCUGGUGCUGCAACUCCUGCAACAUCUGCACUUCCCCCAGUCAGAGGAGAUGGGUGUUAGGAGGGCAGUUCAACAUCCAGUAUGAAAACAUGAGGUGAAAAUUAAUUAUAGCAUAUACUAUAUGUGAUAGAAAUGAGUUACUGCCCAAUUAUGUCUCCUGUUUCCAUUCAGAUGAAUUAAUGCUUGUUGUGAGCCCUUGGGAAUUCAGACACACUUUAAACUUGUAAUGAGUGCUAUCAUUAUUGCU
Long non-coding RNA from Prinia subflava (tawny-flanked prinia), 804 nucleotides. RefSeq lists it as uncharacterized. The transcript is spliced from 3 exons. Lineage: Eukaryota; Metazoa; Chordata; Aves; Passeriformes; Cisticolidae. The record is from RefSeq and is a predicted model, not a curated record.